Molecule: ribosomal RNA, 497 nt
Filed under: uncultured bacterium
Lineage: Bacteria
Description: partial 16S ribosomal RNA
Rfam family: Bacterial small subunit ribosomal RNA
Source: RNAcentral
GAUGAACGCUGGCGGCGUGCCUAAUACAUGCAAGUCGAGCGAACAGACGAGGAGCUUGCUCCUCUGACGUUAGCGGCGGACGGGUGAGUAACACGUGGAUAACCUACCUAUAAGACUGGGAUAACUUCGGGAAACCGGAGCUAAUACCGGAUAAUAUAUUGAACCGCAUGGUUCAAUAGUGAAAGACGGUUUUGCUGUCACUUAUAGAUGGAUCCGCGCCGCAUUAGCUAGUUGGUAAGGUAACGGCUUACCAAGGCAACGAUGCGUAGCCGACCUGAGAGGGUGAUGGCCCACAUGGGAACGGAACCCGGGCCAAGACCCCAAGGGGAGGCACAAGGAGGAAAUUUCCCGAAAGGGGAGAAGGCCGGAAGGGGCAACCCCGGGUGAGGAAGGAGGUUUUUCGAAUCGAAAAACUUUUUUAUGGGGGAAAAAAAAAUGUGAAAGAAAAUAUGCGGGUCUUGAGGGUACCAAAUAAAAAGCCCAGGGAAAACUACGGG